GGUGGCUCAAUGGUAGAGCACUUGCCUUGCAUGCAUGAGGACCUGGGUUUGAUUCCUUGGCACCA
RNAcentral lists this transfer RNA (65 nucleotides) under Dipodomys ordii (Ord's kangaroo rat). It matches the Rfam family "tRNA". From Rfam's summary of the family: Transfer RNA (tRNA) molecules are approximately 80 nucleotides in length. The record is from Rfam by way of RNAcentral. Lineage: Eukaryota; Metazoa; Chordata; Mammalia; Rodentia; Heteromyidae.